AAACACUGAGGGAGACCUAAAUGCAACAUUCGGAAAGCUUGCAGAUCUUAGGAGCAUGAUCUAUAAUGUUGCUCCUGAAAAUAGACGUGAGAUGAGAGACCUUGUCUCAAGUGUUAUUGAUGGGAUGCUUCUUCCACGGCUUUCGGAGAUGACAAAGAUUGACAUGACGGUAACAGCAACUCGGGACGAUUUGUCACUGUUGUCAACGACUUCUCGGGCAGAAAAGCGGACGGACUUCGCAG
This is a long non-coding RNA of Bolinopsis microptera, 242 nucleotides long. RefSeq lists it as uncharacterized. NCBI's taxonomy places the organism in Eukaryota, Metazoa, Ctenophora, Tentaculata, Lobata, Bolinopsidae. The transcript is spliced from 3 exons. The record is from RefSeq and is a predicted model, not a curated record.